AUGGUCUGGGGAAAGGCUCCUGCGUUGCUGAACCCGCGCGGCUGUGGGUGCAGCCUUGUACCAGGCAGCCCGAGCCUGACCUAGAGAAAACUCCCGGAGGCGGUGCCCCCCGGGGUGUGGAUUUGCAGUAACAGGUGUGAGCAUUCUAGCAGCAGUUUGGUGGUCAUGUAUGAUACUGCAAACAGAC
RNAcentral lists this small nucleolar RNA (187 nucleotides) under Neogale vison (American mink). Its description in RNAcentral is "Neovison vison (American mink) Small Cajal body specific RNA 16 (ENSNVIG00000013462.1)". It matches the Rfam family "Small Cajal body specific RNA 16". Rfam says of the family: scaRNAs are a specific class of small nuclear RNAs which localise to the Cajal bodies and guide the modification of RNA polymerase II transcribed spliceosomal RNAs U1, U2, U4, U5 and U12. ACA47 belongs to the H/ACA box class of guide RNAs as it has the predicted hairpin-hinge-hairpin-tail structure, the conserved H/ACA-box motifs and is found associated with GAR1. The record is from Rfam by way of RNAcentral. Lineage: Eukaryota; Metazoa; Chordata; Mammalia; Carnivora; Mustelidae.